Molecule: long non-coding RNA, 6700 nt
Filed under: Homo sapiens (human)
Lineage: Eukaryota; Metazoa; Chordata; Mammalia; Primates; Hominidae
Description: non-protein coding LINC00574:12
Source: RNAcentral
CUCUCCCGCUGAAGCGGGUUCCAAGGCCACCGUGAGGGGGACCAUCCAUCCAGGCUCCGAGUGCUACAGGCAGACCCGAGUCCGAGUCUUCCUACGGUUCAUUGUCCCCCCCUGGAUUUCCUAGGGACUCCAGAUACGAUGGCAUCGAUGUCAGUUAACUUGGCACUUCUUAAAAUAGAUCUAUGAUCAAAUCUUAAGUUUUUCCGAAUAAGACUCUGGAGGAAUGCAGGAAGGUCAUUUGAUUACUUUAAAAUAAGAGGAUUUUAUGUUAAAAUAUUGAAAAAGCCAGUCAUAAAACUAAGCUCUGUACCAAUGAAUAUAGUUCGCGAAGCCAGCAGCACAGGCUUAUUAUUAUAAAUAUCAAACACCACCAUUAUGAGUAAGCUCAUUUAUUUUCAAAGCACUUUGCGAUCAUUAAUUGUUCACGUCUGUGAAUACCCCCUGAGAGACAGUAUUAUUAACUGCAUUUGAAAGGAAGAAAACUAAGGCACAGAAAACCCGUAAUUCAUUGUCCUGAGGGGAAAAGGAGACACCAGGAACACGGCUGUCCUUUCGCUGCAUCUUCUCUUUGGUAGAGAUCCAGGGACAUCUGGAACAUCCACCCUCUUUCUCCCACUCACGGCCAUGCCACCACCUAGUGCCUCACUGACAUUUCCUCUCAAUCUCAGGAUAAUCACAUCGAUGUAACACUUGGCAGGAGAGUACUGGGCAGGCUGCAAAUGUCUGUGUUAAAACAGCUCUGCUGGGCUAAGACAGGACAGAAGCAGACAGCAGGUGGAUGAGACACAAUUUCCUAUCCAGCAGAACCUGCAGCAAGCUCCACAGCACCCUCCAUGGGCUCAGUCUUGCUCCCGGGAAGAUGGUUAAUUCCAUCAGCUCCUUCUGGCCGGCAGCAGGAAGAGUGGCCCUGUGUGUGCCAGGCCCUGCAGUCUCUCCUCUCAGCUGGUGUCUCCAGUGAGGGACCUGAGUCAUCGCACACAUGAGCCUGUGCUCAGCCUGCACAUCUCCCGCCUCCCACCAGCUGCUCCUCAACUGCCAGGGCCAGACUGUGGCAAAAUCUCACUCCUCUGCCGAUGCUGGGGUUUCCCUCGUGUCUGGGAGGUGGUGUGCUUGGUGGCCUGAGCACUGCAGUGAAUCCAUGUUUCCCUCCCAGCACCCUGUUCUGUCCUCCAACUUGGCCGACAGCUCUGGCCAGGGACGCAGCCCAGCUGGUGCCCACCCCGCACUCUGUCCAUUUCAUAAGAGCCCUUGGUUUCCUCACUUCCCUCAGAUUUUGCCAAGAGAAUGGUCCUGGUGUGGCCCAGAAAGGCCAGCGGGGUGCAGCCUGGGACUGAAAGCAGAGGCGGCUCUGGUGGGGAAAAAGUAGCUCUCCCAGCCUAGCCCUACUGGUGGGCGGCACCUCCUGGCUCCAGGCCAUCUUUUGUCCCAGUCCUAGGUAAGAAAAACACAAACAAAAGCCAGUCCCAUGGCACUCGAGAAGCAGGAGGCCGUUCCCUGACAGCAACAUGCUGUGUGCACAGACACACGGGUGGACAGGAGGCAGAGCUCGGGGUUGCUGCGGAGCGGGCAGGACACUGGAGCGGCAGGCAGUGCGGACCCGCCGGGCAGCCGUGCACGGUUGUCGUCCUCAGCGGCAGGAGCCAGUUUGUUGCUCAGGGCCUUGUCUUUUUACAAAGAGCCCCAGGCCCCGGGGGCUUCUCUGGGUGCCUCUUUGCUGCCAUGUCUGCACGCGGGCGGAGAGCAGACCAGGCUACCGACCCUCUCGCUUUGCUGUCUUCACGUGGAAAAGCCAGUGUCGUAGCCCCAAAGGAGGGGAAACUGUAUUGAUUUGGGGAGCCUCUAUGUUGAUUUCAAAACAGAUUGUCUCCUGUGUUCUCAAAGACUGGAAGCGAACCCCACAACCGCCUUAGGCCACAAAAGCUUUAUCCUUUCUAAUUAGCAUCCCUGUGACCUGCUCUGCGCCCUGCAGAUAUUUUGCUCAGCCAGCCAGAAGGAGGGAGGCCAGACACCAGCCCCCACAGACCUGCGGCUGCGACCCCCUGCCUGGGGACGAUGGGGUCGGGGUCCAGUAGCUGCCCCAGAAACAAGUGGGGCUGCAGGAGGCUGAUGGUGAGCUUGGAGGUUGGCAGAAUUCUAAAUCUGGGCACUGCAGGGUCCCCACAGGUCACGACCCUACUCUGCUCCACCCAGGCUCCGGAGGACCUGAGCAGGAACCUCUGCAGGGGGGGCCCGGGGCUCCCUGUCCUCUCAGCAGCCGGCAGUGCUCCCUGACAGCCCGGGCCUCUCCCUCCAGUAGUUCGGUAGUUUGCUGUCACCAACAUGGCUGGGCCUGGGACAGGCUCCUCCUCUCCCUCCAGAAGCCAGGCAGUCCCUCCUGCCUCAGUUUCUCAGACUAGGCCGCCUCUCCCAUCGCGAGACACUGAAGACCCUCAGCUGUUUCCAUCUGCCCAGUCUGACUGCUGGAUCGCCCUCUGUGUGCGUUGGUUUGCUGUGUUCUUGCUACUCGCCCUUGGAUAAGAUUUCUUCUCUACUCAUGAAGCUGCGUGUCCUGGAGGGCAGGGCCGCACCUCACAUGCAUGUUGCCCACAUAGCUCAGCAACAGAUGCUCUCACGCUUGUUAAAAGUAAAACCGGGCCAGGCGCAGUGGCUCACGCCUGUAAUCCCAGCACUUUGGGAGGCCGAGGUGGGUGGAUCACCUGAAGUCAGGAGUUUGAGACUAGCCUGACCAACAUGGAGAAAUCCCGUCUCUACUAAAAAUACAAAAAAUUAGCUGGGCGUGGUGGCACAUGCCUGUAAUCCCAGCUACUCGGAGGCAGGAGAAUUGCUUGAACCCAGGAGGCGGAGGUUGCGGUGAGCCAAGAUCACGCCAUAGCAAUUGCACUCCGGCCUGGGCAACAAGAGCAAAACUCUGUCAAAAAGAAAAAAAAAAAAAAAAAAAAGUAAAACCAAUUAGCCAAUGUAAAGGAGUUUAACUGAGCAAAGAGUGAUUCACAAAUCAGGCAGCCUCCCGACCCAGAGUGGACUCAGAGACUCCAGCACAGCCAUGUGGUGGAAGAAAAUUUAAGACCGAAAAAGGAAAGAGAUGUACAGAAAAUGGAAAUGAGUGCCACCGGGGACAACCAAAUCUGAUCAGAGGCCGCCUGUUUCUGCCUGUGGGUCCUCUACCCAGCUGCAAGAGUGGUUUCUAUACUGAUGUGGACCCCAGCCUGCCUGCUGUGAAGCUGCCUUCAGCACAGAAGGGGAGGUUGGGGCUGGCCUCUGAGGAGUGACCUGGCCGAGCCCACUGUCCACCAAGGCCUCAAUGCCUUCCCUGCCACGUAGGGUCCCCGUUUCUGCCUGGCGGCAUGAGGCUGUGCCGGGCCUGUCAUCGCAGAUCGUGGGCAAGAGCUGCCUCAGGGUGGAAGAGACUGCACAGAGCUGUCCCUGAGUGGCCUCUGGCUAGGACAGGACCUGCAAGGGGAACAGCCUCACUUCCUUCUCCCUGACCAUUCCGUCCAUACUCAAAGCCGACUCCCUUCCUCCCUCUCCAACCCACUAUGUGCUGUGGAUGGGCUGUGGCUUCACUGGGCACCCCCAUCUGCUGCCUCUAUUGUUCCCCAUCCCCAGCCAAGUGGGUCUUGUUUUCCUUCACUGCAGGCAGAACUCGAGCCUGUGCUGUGCCCUGAUGAGUGGCUCCCCUUCUUCCUGGGCCGUUCCAUGGGUGUGCCUUUGCCACGCUCAACCUUCCCACCCCGACGCAACAUUGAUCCCCAAGUCAGGGUGGGCUCGGGACCCCUCAACUUUCCCCUGUGCCCCUGUGCAUUUCAUGGGCAAAUCAAACCUUUUCAAACUCUCGCCUCCACAGGUCCCCAGGGGUGGACACUCCAAGGUCCCCGUUGCUCCUGUCCUCUGCCAGCCGCCUCACCGCCUAAAUCAGUGGCCCAGCCCAGGCCAUUACCACAAGGCUAGCUGGCCUCGAUGUCAGCACCUACCUUUCUGAGGGCGACUUUCUGAGGCUCCAGGCCCCAGCAGGUGGGAUUUCUCUUUCCAUCCGCACCCCGACGGCAUCGUGCUGGCUGUUCAGUGUGGCGGCCGCAGCUGGUGUCCAGCUACAGCCCACGGAGCCAGGGACAAACCUGGGUUUAGUCAGGAUGCCGGUGGGGUUGCCUCGCCUCUGUGCGUGGAGAAGUUACUGCCAGUGUCCCGAUGCGGGAAUCCUUCCAGGAAUGCUCUCACCUGUAAAAAUGUAGAAGUUCAAUAACAAAAUAUGAAACUGCAGGAAAUGGGUUUGAGAUACCUAUACGAUAAAAACAGAUUUAUGUAAAACUUAUUAGAGGAAAAGCUGAAUUAGCUUUCUCUUCUCUUAAUAGAAAAUGAUAUAUCAGCAGGGUGCAUUGGCUCACGCCUGUAAUCCCAGCACUUUGGGAGGCUGAGGCGGGCGGAUCACUUGAGGUCAGGAGUUUGAGACCAGCCUGGCCAACAUGGUGAAAUCCCGUCUCCACUAAAAAUACAAAAAUUAGCUGGGCAUGGUGGCUUUUGCCUGUAAUUCCAGCUACUCGGGAGGCUGAGGCAGGAGACUCACUUGAACCUGGGAGGCGGAAGUUGCAGUGAGACGAGAUUGUGCCACUGCACUCCAGCCUGGGCGAGAGAGCAAGAAUCCAUCUGAAAAAAAAAAAGAAAUGAUAUAUCAAAAUUGUCACACAUAAAAGCAGUCAAAGGUGUGAGAAAGUGUAGAAAAAGAGCUGGAGAAAUGAGGCAGUGUCAGGCAGGUGACUGAAAACACUGAUUUUGGAUUCUGUGAUGUCUGUGGCUUUGCCCGAUUUUUCAAGUAUGUAAUUUGCUUCCAUCUCCCUUCUCCUUUCGAAUGUGCGUGGAGGGACUCCUUUUCUUGAAUAACUCCCCCCCACCAACCAAUCCCAUUAUAAAACCACCAGGCUUCGCAAGGCCUAGUUCUGCCCCCAUCUUUAUCUCACUUUAGAAGACUUCCCCUGCUCUUGGCUUGAACAAUGACGUCUUUUUCUGGGCUCACAAAUCUAUUUCUGGAAUAAACUUCUCCCUGGUGAUUUGUCCUUUAUUUCCCACUUUCUAGGUUCUCAUUCUAAUAAUUUAAUAGGGUUAUGUUGAUGGUUAAUGGUGACAUUUGGCCACGGAGGAAUACUGAUAUUUUAAACAGAGAUUCAGCAACAUUCAUAGAAUAUUUUACCCAACAAAUUUGGAAGCAUCUUCACAAACAUUAGCUUUGAGAAAUGUUUUCUAAAUUUGAUUCUUAGCCAAGUGGUGGAAGGUAGAGGUAGCUUCGGGUGAUCCUUAGAAAAAGGUAUUUCUGGAGGCUGAGGACAGAAGGGCCUUAUUCAAAUGAUUGUUCUGAUCUAAAGCCAGAUACAAAAGCCAGUGUAGGAAAGAAAGGGAACUGCCAAGAAUGUGUCUGAUACUUUCAGACAAUCUCUAUGCAUUUGGGGUCUGGAGAAAAGGAAAGAAAGACACCUUUACAAGAGUCAAACCUAAAAGGGGGACACUAAUCCCACAGUUGCCAGCUCCCCCUGGCAGCACCUGUAGCCUCUUUAGUGUCUGGGACAACAGGCCGGCACUGGCCUUGGGUCGGCUGAGGAUGGCUGAGAACAAAGGCUCCCACCUCUGCUUGGAGCCCUUGGUGGCUCGUGAAGCUCUUCACGUGGUGCCUGGUGACCAACCCUGGGACCCCAGGCAACUUCAUGCCAACCACAGGCCACAGUGAUACAUGGAAGGACGCUCUAGCACCUUUAGGCCACGCCAAUGGAAGGAGGGGUCCUCCCGCACCUGCAGACCACGCUGAUGGAUGAAGGGGUUCUCCCAUACCUGCAGACCACCCUGAUGGAUGGAGGGGUCCUCCCGCACCUGCAGACCACCCUGAUGGAUGGAGGGGUUCUCCCGCACCUGCAGACCACCCUGAUGGAUGGAGGGGUCCUCCCGCACCUGCAGACCACACUGAUGGAUGGAGGGGUUCUCCGGCACCUGCAGACCACGCUGAUGCAUGGAGGCGUUCUCCCGCACCUGCAGACCACGCUGAUGGAUGGAGGGGUUCUCCCGCACCUGCAGACCACGCUGAUGGAUGGAGGGGUUCUCCUGCACCUGCAGACCAUGCUGAUGGAUGGAGGGGUUCUCCCCCACCUGCAGACCACGCUGAUGGAUGGAGAGGUUCUCCCGCACCUGCAGACCACCCUGAUGGAUGGAGGGGUCCUCCUCCACCUGCAGGCCAUGCUGAUGGAUGGAGGGGUCCUCCUGCACCUGCAGGCCAUGCUCUGUGUGUGUGUGUGUGUUUUAACUUUGUUGUUUUUGUAAAUGGACAAUGUGUAAUUGUCUAUAUUUACGGAGUACAAAACAAUGAUACAAUUAAUACAAUGUGGAAUAAUUCAAUGAAGCUAAUUAGCACAUCCCUCACCUCAAAUACUUAACACUUUUUUGUGGUGAGAACAUCUGAAGUUUAUUCUCUUUCUCUUUUUUUCUUGAUUUUUUAAAAAAGUUUUUAUUUCAAUAGGUUUCUGGGAAACAGGUGGUGUUUGGUUACAUGGAUAAGUUCUUUGGUGGUGAUUUCUGAGAUUUCGAUGCACCCAUCACCCGAGCAGUGUACACUGUAUCCAAUGUGUAGUCUUUUAUCCCUCAUCCCCCUCCCACGCUUCCCCCCUUGUCCCCAAAGUCCAUUGUAUCAUUCUUAUACUUUUGCGUCUUCAUAGCUUAGAUCCCA